UCCCUCCCUCUCUCUCUCUCUCCCUCCCUCCCUCCCUCCCUCCCUCCCUCUCCCCGAAUCUCUGAAUUGUCGCUCUCUGUUCACUUAUAUACAGAGAUUUGAUUCUCUGAAUCCAAACAGAGAAAGCCAAGAUCUGUACCAUGGUGGGAAGAUUGUGUAGAUGCUUUCGAAUUGAUGGGGAUCCACUGCACUACUCAGAGAAAGCCAAGAUCUGUACCAUGGUGGGUAGAUUGUGUAGAUACUUUCGAAUUGAUGGGCAUCCACCGCACUACUCAGAGAAAGCCAAGAUCUGUAUCAUGGUGUGUAGAUUGUGUAGAUACUUUAGAAUUGAUGGGGAUCCACAGCACUACUCAGGUAAAAUAAAUGGUUCGCCUCUCAAAAAAUUUAUUCCUUUUUACUUGAAUCGGCUGGAAUCCUAUGUAUUGUUUAUGGCUUUGGUAUUGUCUGGACUUUAGGUGUUUGAUGUGUUUUAUUUUUUGGGGUUUUAGUCUGGGUCUGCAAUUUUAAAUUAGGGUUUUGUCUCUUUGAUGUCAGGGAUGAAGUGGUUGGGGAGGUUAAAUGAAUUGGAUGAAAAAUGGUGACUGAUUUGGGGCUGGUUGGUGAGGGUUCUUAAAUCUCAGCAAUAGGGGUUCUAGACAUAAAUGAAGAGGGUUGGGUUUGGUGCUUGUUUGGUGACCCUCAUAACUAUUAUAUGAAUGAGACAAAUUGAAUUUUUUUUUUCUGCUACUUUGUGUGUGUGUAUUGUGUGUAACAUUGUGAACAAGAUGACAACUUCAGGGAAUAGCUAGGUUAACUAAAAAAACUUAGUAAAAUAACAUGUUGAAUUUACCAUUGCAAAUCUAAAUCUUUUCACUAUGAGGAUUCAUCAUGGAGGGAGAUUUCAUAGUGAGAAUGGCCUAAAUAGUAUUUGCAGAGAGGGCCAAUUGAUCUUUGUUGAUAGAGUAUACUCGGACAAGGUGUUUUUGACAGGGAUACACCACUGGACUUAUGAUUUGGGGUACCAGAUGGGGCCAAGUCAAUUCUGGUUUAGAAUUCCUGGUAGUGAGGAGGGGACUAGGUAUCUGCCUAUAUGUAUUGAUCAAGAGGCAAUUGAGAUGUGUCACUAUGUAUCUCCAAGGUCCAAGUAUUUGGACUUGUAGAUAGUUUGUACAAGUGAAAGGAGGAUUUUUACUGUUAGAGACUAUGCUCAGUUUGAAGAAAAUCUUAACCUUGUUAUGUUCAUUGGCUGAUGGAUUGAAGAUGUGGAAGAAAGGCCCCAUGUUACAACUGAUGAUGAGGAGGAGGAAGGAUCUUUGGGGGCUGAGGACAUGUGUGAUGCUCAAGAGACUAUUUUUGUGGACUUGGAUGACAUAGGUGAUGAGCCCAGGACUGAAACAAUCAAUGCAAAUGGAAAUAGAAAUGGGCCUGACUAAGGUGUGGAUGGACAUGGGCUUCAAAAACAUGAUGCACAUGGGCCUGAGCAAAAUGAGGAUGGACAUAGGCCCAAUGUUAAUGAUGUUGAGGCAUCCGUGACUGAGGCAGAAGUGGAAAGAGUAAAAGAGAAUGGUAAAGCUAUGGUUCAAGAAGAAGACACUCCAUCUGCAAAGAAGAAUAAGAGCAGAAAAAGGAAAGAGGUGCAGAGGAGAUAUGCUACUAGGUCUGGAGAUUAGAGUUCAAGGAGGUAAUUUGUUCCUAAUGUGGAUGUCUCCUCUAAAAGCACAACAAAAUCUAAAGACUCAAAUUUUGAAGGCAUAGUCGAUUCAGAUUAUGACCUGAACAGUGAAGAUGAUGAUGUGGAAUUUCAGCAGAAUGUAGAUGGUGACAGUAGCAGAGUAAAUAAGUUUGAUGAGAUGGGGUUCGAGGGGGAUAUAUCUAAUGAAGCUGGGAGUGAUUCUAAAGGAUUACAUAGUCUGCAUAGAUUCUUAGGUGAGGAGGAUGAAGACAAAGGGAAGUUCCCUGUUAAGUGCAAGAGAAGAUACAGUGAAUGGAGGGAGUUCAAGCAUAAGGAGGACAUGAAGAGACCUACUUUUGAGCUAGGAAUGGAGUUUCCAAACUCCAAGGUGUUUAAGAGUUUAACUAGGAAGCAUGCAGUUCAAACAAGAAAUGAGAUUAGGUUUCCGACAAACACAAGACACAAGUGUUGGCAAGGUGCAAGACGUCUCCUGGUUAUCCUUGGAGGAUCUAUGCCUCUACCACUGACUUGGAUAAUCCCACCAUUUUCAUCAAGACUCUGAGGCAAGAGCACAAGUGUGCUUCUUUUGGGAAAGAAAAAAAAAAAAAGCCUAUGAUAUGCAUGCACCUUUUAUUGUUGAAGAGUACCAGGAUUUUUUCAUGAGUGAUCCCAAUUGGUCAAGAAAAGGGAUGCAGAAUGCAAUCAACAAGGAUGUUGAAAUGGAGUUGGACUAUCAGAUGUGUUACAGAGUAAGGGUGAAGACACUUAAGCUUGCACAAGGGAGCCAUGCAGGUCAGUACAAUUUAUUAGAGAGCUAUGCUCAUGAACUUAAGAAGAGGAAUCCAAGUCGAAGCUCUGUGUGGAUUCACACUGAAUUGGAUGUUGAAGUUAUAAGGUUCAAAAGGAUCUACAUAUGGAUGGCUACAUUGAAGAAAGGUUGGGGGGGAGAGGUGCAGACCCUAUAUAGGGUUAGAUGGGUGCCAUUUGAAAUCAGUUCAUAAGGUCCAGUUGCUUUCAGCUUGGGGGAUUGAUAGGAAUAAUGGGAUUUAUCCAACUGCAUGGGAAAUUGUGGAAGCAGAAUCAAGAGAGACAUGGACAUCGUUUCUGGAAUUCUUGAAGGUUGAUUUGGAUAUACAUCAUAGCACUCAUUACACAUUCAUGAGUGACAAGCAAAAUGGGCUUGAGCAGGCUAUAAAUGAGUUAUUUCCAUAUGCUGCACACAGGCAUUGUGUGAGACAUCUUCACAAUAACUUCAAAUCAAAUGGACAUCAAGGUUUGCAAUCUCUCUCUCAUUACUUGCUAACUUUUCUUGUGAUUGAUCCUAAUUGUUUGUAACAGUUGUCUGUAUUCCUUUUUGUAAAACUUAAACUGUGGGCUAUUGUUAGAAGCUGCAUAAUGAAUCAAUUCAGGGAUGCUUUGGAGGAUAUGAAUAAAAGCUCACUAUCUAGUUGGAAAUGGUGCAUGGACAAACCUACACAGCAUUGGUCAAAGUCACACUUUGAUCCUAAAUACAAGUGUGAUAUUCUAUUAAACAACCAUUCUGAGAAUUUUAACAAAAGAAUCCUACCAGCUAGGAAGAAGCCCAUACUUAGUUGUUUGGAAGACAUCAGAGCUGCCACAAUGGUGAGGUUAACUAAUAGAAGACAAUCUGGCCCUAAUUGGAGGUGUAAUGUUGGGCCCAGAAUUGAGAAACAACUCAAGAAGCAUGCAUAUAUUAGCCAUGAUUACAGAGUUAUCAAUUCAAGUAAUAACAUUUUUGAGAUUCAAAGCAGAGGUGUAGCAUGUGCAAGUGAUGUGGUGGCUGCACAUUCAGUCUCAUUAGAAGUAAGGACAUGCACAUGUAAGAGAUGGAACAUUUCUAGGGUACCAUGUGGGCAUGCAAUGGCUGCAAUUCAUUCUAAAGGGUUGAGGCUUGAUGAUUUUGUGCAUGAAUAUUUCACCAAGGACACCUACAUGAAGGCUUAUGACCCCAUUAUGUUCCCAAUAGCUGGAGUGGCUGAGUGGGACAAGAUACAUAGGCCAAUUGCACCUUAUCUUUAUAGGAGUCAACCUGGAGGCUCAAAAUGUCAAGGAGCAAAGAACCUGGUCACUUGUGGAAUAUGUAAGAAGAAUGGCCACAAUAGGAGGACAUGCAACAUGAGAAAUCAAGUAUGGUUAUCAAUUUCAUUUUGUAGGUUCACAGCUGAUGUGAUUGGGAAAGUUAAAUUAUGUGUUGGGAGUUUGAUGUGUUUUUGGAAUUGCAACAAGGUGAGAAUGUGCAGCAGCAGGUAAAUGAGGGAGUGCAGCAGCAGGAAGAUGAGGGUGUGCGGCAACAAGAUCCUUAGGUUGGCAAUGGUGUCCAGGAGCAGCACAAUCAGCAUGUGGAGCCAUAAGUUUCUCAGAAUGUGCAAGACUCCCAACCAGCUUAUGUGCCAAGUCAGCAAUCACAGACUACUAAUAUAGCUUCAGGAAGCUCCUCUAGACUUGGUUUCACAGACAGAAGGUAAAAGCUCUUGCUCACAAAAAACUUAGACCAGCAAAUGCCCCUACAUCACCAAACAAUGAAUCUGAAUAAAGUUUUAGAUCAAAAUGUAGUUGCUGGGCCCCCCAUGAGUUCUUAACCAACCAAUACUUAGUCCCAUCAUCAAUGAUGCCAUAGCCAACAGCAGUAACACCAUGGUCUAGGCUUGUUCCACAAGUUCCUGUGAAAACACCACUUGAAUAGAAUUGGAAAUAAGAACCACUAGCAUCAAUGGCAACGGAAAUGGGUUGAUUAGCUACAGCCUUAAGAAGGGCACUUUCACUAUUUGCAGGCACAUCUUCGUGACCAGUUAUCGAGGCUGCAUGGCUUGCUUCCUUCUAGGUAUUGCAUGUACCAUCAACACCGGUAUAGGGGUAAUUAGCCUCAGGAUUAUGUCCAUGAUUUUGAUUGAUGAACUCAAAGGCAUUGUCCAUCAAGCCACCCUCACAACCUUGGUCUUCACCAUUCACAUCACAGUCAACCAGCUCUUUCUUGGACAAAGAGAUAAGUUUACCUGUAGUAAGUGGAGUGAUUCCUUCCAUGGCUGCCACUGCUGAAAAUGCCCAACAGCAUCCUGUAUAUAGAGAUGACAAAUUCUUACUAGUUGGACUUGUUGAAGGAUAUCGACAUAAUGUGUGCCUCUACAAACUAGGGUUUAGAGUUGUAAUAGGAAUGUGUUCUAGGUAUUCAAUUGUAAUCAAAUUCUAUUA
This is an RNA transcript of Rosa chinensis, 4861 nucleotides long. RefSeq lists it as uncharacterized. NCBI's taxonomy places the organism in Eukaryota, Viridiplantae, Streptophyta, Magnoliopsida, Rosales, Rosaceae. The transcript has 5 exons. The record is from RefSeq and is a predicted model, not a curated record.